Molecule: RNA transcript, 2308 nt
Organism: Lepus europaeus (European hare)
Lineage: Eukaryota; Metazoa; Chordata; Mammalia; Lagomorpha; Leporidae
Gene: FAM228A
Gene name: family with sequence similarity 228 member A
Exons: 9
Source: RefSeq, a predicted model, not a curated record
GCGGUGUCCCUGACCUGCGCCGGGGCUCGGCUCGGUUCGCAGCCCCGAAGGCCGCCAUGUUCCACAGCUACUGAUUUCAAACGUUGACCUGUUCGCCCCUCAGGGCGUCUGCUGUCUAUGGCUGCCGCGAAGGCUCCGAACUACGGCGACUAUUUCAGUCCCGAAAGACUGGAAGCAUGGCCGGCGCCGGAGUCCGUUCCUUUCAUGGAGGUAUUAGCUAGAGAAGACAUUGAUGAGGCCGUCCAUGCAAUAUUAUUUAGAGAAAAUCACGCUGUGAAGCAACUGGAUACGUAUAUUCAGCAUCUGGAUAUUUUCAAGGAAAGAAGAAAAGAGAUGAUACAUAAGAAAUGGGUCCAAAGUGUUGCCGAUCCUCUUCAGCAGAGAAUUAUGGAAAAAGUAAUUUCAUAUAGAGGAGUUGAAAAAAUGAAACAAGAGAAUUUUGAACACUUCUUAAAGCACACAAAUAAAACGGAAACUGUGUUUGGAGACCAUUAUAAUCCUGAAGUGUACGACCCUUUUUAUAUGAAGAAAAAGAAUCCGAAUUAUGGAAAGGUUACAGUCCCACCAUUUUGUGAUCCUCUGUUCCGAAGACAGCAGGAGGUAGAUGAGGAGAGGAGAGCGAACCUUGAGUAUGAGACAGGAAAACGGUACUCCAUGAAGGAAUUUAAAGAAAUAGAGAAGGCCAGGCUGCGUGCCAGGUUGCCCCAGUUCACUUUCACCUUGCACGGUGUGAUUCCAAAAGAGCGGCAUCCAGGCUCUGCAGGAUCCGCGCGAGGUAGAGCUCGUGGGAAACGCAGUCCCGAAAAGCUGCCCUGUGCAGAGACGCCGCAUCUGCCUGCGGAAGAGGCGGCCGACGGGGGUCGGCUUGCUUUCGAGAGGCAGUUUCUCUCCUCGAAGCUCAGCCGGGGGCAGAGAGGGGCUGAGCAGAAGGGCCUGGCCUCAGGAGCCCGACAGCCGAGCCCUCGCUCCUGGGCGCCUGGGGGCGGCACGCAGAGAGGGAAGAGUGAGGAUGGCAGAGGCCCUGGGCAAGCACCUGGCGUCCCUGCACGCGACGGCCCAGCAGGACCAAGGCUGGUACUACGGAGGCUUCGUUAACUCAAGUUCGCAGUGUCGCAGUGAAAAUACUGCAAUGGCGUUCUGUCUCUCCAGGAGCGGAGAGAUUGCAAGAAAUGCACAAAUAAAAACAGUCUCACAGGUGCUGUCGGACUCAGAUCCUGCAGGCCCUGUGUCCUGCCUGCCUACAGGUGAAGGCAGCACUAGCCAGUCUUCCUGGUGGGAACCCAAGGAUUAUUCUGCAGCUGCGGUCAAGGUGACCCCAGAACCGGUUUCACAACUGCCUGAUUCAUCUGAAAACCAGCCAGGCCACGGGCUCACUUGGACACCAGCCCACCCCUGGCUCUGGAACCAAGGAAGCACGCUUCCCACAGCCUGGCAGUGUCAGCAGGUUGCUCUGCUCAGUGACUCUGGGCCGGCAGGCAGGGCUCCCGGAAGUGAGUACAGUGCUUUCAUACACUGAGUGGUGUCUCUUCUUACUUAUGUCUGCAUUCUCCCUAGUCAGAGCCCGGCAUCAGGACCUCAGAUGAGGAAGUGGCAGGUUUAAGUUUGGAUAGACUGAAUUGUGUUUUCCAGCCCUUCCGUGCCCCGAACAGGAACGGGGCCCGGCACACAUGCCCAGGCCCGUGGGGCGUCUGACUCCCUCCGGGUUCUUCCAGCAGCUGGAUCCGCUUCCUGAGAAGCCAGGGCUCCGCAGCCUGGGUGGCCGCUUCAGAAGGACAGACCCAUUCCUGAAACCAGGGGUCCAGCGCGGGAGACCUUGUUCUUAGUGAUAUCUGAGACAGGCUUCACGUCUGGAAUUCAGAAGCUGAGCGAGCGGCUGAGACUGGCACGGAUGUGGCUCCAGGGCGGGGCCUGGAGGGAGGACAGGGUCUCUGGAGCUGGCAGCAGGGCUGCCCCUGUGCUCCUCUCCCCCUACCUUACCCCUGAGGCUUCCCCUCACAGAGGCACAGCGCCCGGACGUCGUCCAGGGUAGCUGCUGAAGAAGCCGCCCUGGAGACAUGAGGGAGGUCCCAGCCACAGAGCAGGUGAAUGGCAGCGCCAGGCAGAGGCCCGGCCUCCUGGUCCUGUCCGUGCCCUGUUCCCUGGCUCUCCCCACGGUGCCAGAAAGGACACGUGCUUCCUUGUGAGCAGCCUCCAGACCAUUCAAGAGCGGUUCAGAGAAGUUACGUUCGUAAACUUAGAUUUUUAUUCUCUUUCUGUACAUAUUGGCAAUGAUAAAGCUUAAAGAUGCAUGUCCUAUGAAAUAUGCAAA